RNAcentral lists this transfer RNA (66 nucleotides) under Ochotona princeps (American pika). Its description in RNAcentral is "tRNA-Thr". It matches the Rfam family "tRNA". From Rfam's summary of the family: Transfer RNA (tRNA) molecules are approximately 80 nucleotides in length. Their secondary structure includes four short double-helical elements and three loops (D, anti-codon, and T loops). Lineage: Eukaryota; Metazoa; Chordata; Mammalia; Lagomorpha; Ochotonidae. The record is from RNAcentral.
UCCUCGUAGUAUAACAAUUACUCUGGUCUUGUAAACCAAAAAUGAAGUACAAUUCUUCCUAGGACA